UAGGGAAUCUUCCACAAUGGACGCAAGUCUGAUGGAGCAACGCCGCGUGAGUGGAGAAGGGUUUCGGCUCGUAAAGCUCUGUUGUUAAAGAAGAACGUGGGUAAGAGUAACUGUUUACCCAGUGACGGUAUUUAACCAGAAAGCCACGGCUAACUACGUGCCAG
Molecule: ribosomal RNA, 164 nt
Filed under: uncultured bacterium
Lineage: Bacteria
Description: partial 16S ribosomal RNA
Rfam family: Bacterial small subunit ribosomal RNA
Source: RNAcentral